CCUACGGGCGGCUGCAGUGGGGAAUUUUGGACAAUGGGCGCAAGCCUGAUCCAGCCAUUCCGCGUGAGUGAAGAAGGCCUUCGGGUUGUAAAGCUCUUUCGCAGGGGAAGAAAACUUAUCCUCUAACAUAGGAUGAGGUUGACGGUACCUUGAUAAGAAGCACCGGCUAACUCCGUGCCAGCAGCCGCGGUAAUACGUAGCGUGCGAGCGUUGAUCGGAAUUACUGGGGGUAAAGCGUGCGGUGGCAGUUGAAAUCCCCGAGCUCAACUUGGGAACUGCGGUUGAAACUACAAGACGAGAGUAGGUCAGAGGGGGGUAGAAUUCCACGUGUAGCAGUGAAAUGCGUAGAGAUGUGGAGGAAUAUCAAUGGCGAAGGCAGCCCCCUGGGAUCAUAUUGACGCUCAUGCACGAAAGCGUGGGGAGCAAACAGGAUUAGAUACCCCGGUAGUC
This 450-nucleotide ribosomal RNA is filed under the name uncultured bacterium. Its description in RNAcentral is "partial 16S ribosomal RNA". It matches the Rfam family "Bacterial small subunit ribosomal RNA", at positions 338 to 795 of the family's 1533-position model. The record is from RNAcentral.